UUUCACUCCCAAAUCCCUCUCUCCUAUGAAGGAGGUUUUAGAAAUGAAGUGAAGGACUUCUGUUCUCAGGUCAGUCAGGUUGUCUUUAUGCUGUGUGCAUUAACACGACUUACUACCGUUAGCUUAAAGACACUAAACGCCAGGCCGAGUCGACUCUUCGGUGCUUUUACAAAACAUGGUGUGAUUGUUACGCAGAGCGACUGAUGACAAUUAUUCUGUCUACAAACACUGAAAACUGUUAAAGCUGUGAUUUAUGUUUAUUGUGUAACAUUCUGAUGGAGUCUGUCAGUGGUGUGUGUUAUAUGCUGUGUCUUUGUUGUGUCUUUUACUCGACACAGUAAACGUCUCUGUACAUUAUUACACUGCAGUGAGGUUACACACAGGUGCAUUGUGGGAAAGAAGCUGACUGAUGGAAGUGGAAUCUCACUUACUGAUCAGACUCCUUCACAUAAACAUGAUCUGAAAAUCAUCUUUAUGUUUCUAUUUGAUUCCUGGAUUAAAAUGUAAUAUAUGUGAUAAGUUAAUAAAAUAUCAGCUUUUA
Tachysurus fulvidraco (yellow catfish) is the source of this 541-nucleotide long non-coding RNA. RefSeq lists it as uncharacterized. Lineage: Eukaryota; Metazoa; Chordata; Actinopteri; Siluriformes; Bagridae. The transcript is spliced from 2 exons. The record is from RefSeq and is a predicted model, not a curated record.